Molecule: ribosomal RNA, 414 nt
Filed under: uncultured microorganism
Description: bacterial SSU rRNA
Rfam family: Archaeal small subunit ribosomal RNA
Source: RNAcentral
GCGCAGCAGGCGAGAAAACUUCACACUGUGCGAAAGCACGAUGAGGGAAUCCCAAGUGCUUGCACGUAAGUGUAAGCUGUUUCUCUGUCUAAAACGCAGAGAGAGUAAGGGCUGGGUAAGACGGGUGCCAGCCGCCGCGGUAAUACCUGCAGCUCAAGUGGUGACCGUUAUUAUUGGGCCUAAAACGUCCGUAGCCGGUUUAAUAAAUGCCUGGGUAAAUUGUGUAGCUUAACUAUACGAAUUCCGGGUAGACUGUUAAACUUGAGACCGGGAGAAGUUAGAGGUACUCCUGGGGUAGAGGUGAAAUUCUGUAAUCCUAGGGGGACCACCAGUGGCGAAGGCGUCUAACUAGAACGGGUCUGACGGUGAGGGACGAAGCCCUGGGGCGCAAACGGGAUUAGAUACCCGUGUAGU